UGGGAUCACGAUCAGUAGAAUGGUAGAAUGGUGACGUCACAAAAAUAAUUCUACAAUCGACAAUUUUGGUAUCACGUUAACACGCUUGGGAAAGUAGAAUCGGUGCUCGGCAAUGUUCGGAUAUUCUACUAGCCAUGUUAAAAAUAUCGCUUCUUCUUCUUAAAAAUAUUGCUUUUUGACGUGUGGUUGUCUUUAUUUUGUGGUGGUUGUAUUCAAAAAGCUAACCUAAAGAAAGAUUAUAAUUUGUGAUUAUUUUCAAUUUGUAUAUUUUUGUCUUGGGUUGUUUGGAACUAUUUUAUUAGAAAUCACUAAAUUUUUAAAUUUUACCUGUGACUAGAGAACAUUGUUAUAUUAAGGUGUGUGAUCCAGACUUAAAAAUUUUAAACAUCGAUGCUAGAUGGGGAGGUGCAACACAUGAUGUGGAGAAACUCAAAUGUAAAACUUUUUUGCAGCAGAUCGUUUAAAAUAGAGAUCAAAGCAUUUUCCAUUUCUAUUCUGGCAAAGAUUACUUUCACUUCUUAGUUAUCUUUGCUGGACGGUGAAGCUUUAUAUCUUAUUAUGAAGUAUUUUGAACAUAAAACUUUUGUUUUAUGGAUGCAUUGAUCAAAUAUCUUAAAGAAAUGUUUAUUUAAAGUUUCAUAAUAAUUUUUAUAAGUAGUUUAAUAUAAUUACUUAUUUUUGCACUAGAAAUAAUAAUUGUAAAGCUUCAUUGACUAAUGGCCAGUUUCACCAAAGAUGAAUAGUAGUUUAUUCGAUGAAUAAAAUUAUUCAACUGAUAAAACUGACACAACUAUGUUUCUCUAACGUCAAAUAGUACUUAUUUUAUUUAUUCAUCAAAUAAAUAUUUACUCUUCAAAUGAAUUGACGAGUUAAUCUCACUUUAAAUAUCUAUAUAAAGAAAAUUUGUCAAUUUAAUUUUAAAUUAUCAAACUAUUCACUGAUUUAUUUGUUGUUGGUGAAACUGGCCAUAGAGAGUAAAAUUGCAUUAUUUUUCAAUUUACAUAAAUUUGUGGUUUAUUUGUGAUUUAUUCUUUGUUCUUAUUUUAGUCUUGGUAUGAAACAAUGUUAAGACAAUACUGUGUGCUUUUUCAGUCCUAUGAAAGAAAAUGUUUUGGAUGUAAUAGAGAAGUACUACAACUUUGUUAUGAAGAUUUGUCUUUAUGUUAUUUUUAUAAUGUUCAUGGAUUAUAUUUGUUUUUAUGUUUUCUUCAGUUUAAAUAAAGUUUAUGUUUUACCCA
RNAcentral lists this long non-coding RNA (1238 nucleotides) under Diabrotica virgifera virgifera (western corn rootworm). RNAcentral describes it as "uncharacterized LOC126884692". The record is from RNAcentral. Lineage: Eukaryota; Metazoa; Arthropoda; Insecta; Coleoptera; Chrysomelidae.